Molecule: long non-coding RNA, 315 nt
Filed under: Ictidomys tridecemlineatus (thirteen-lined ground squirrel)
Lineage: Eukaryota; Metazoa; Chordata; Mammalia; Rodentia; Sciuridae
Description: lncRNA (ENSSTOG00000034201.1)
Source: RNAcentral
GGAGACUGGAGGAGGUCGGACGGGGAGGAAGGGGAGGAAGAGGAAAGGGGACGAGAAAGGUGAGAGCCAGAGAGGGGCGCGGAGGGGAAGAGUGACGAGUGGAGGAGUUGCAGCUGACAGCAGACGCCUCUCAAUUCCUCGUCCACAAACGGAGCACAACAGGGCUGGGGUGGACGGCGGAGGCAGAGCGCUCGCCACUGCGCGUGAGGCACCUCUUGGAUCCUCGGCACCACGUGUCAUUGCGUCCACCUACAACUAAGAAUGAACAUCAGCACACAAAACCAAACAGACGGAGCACGGCAUUUCAAUUCUCUG